This 450-nucleotide ribosomal RNA is filed under the name uncultured bacterium. Its description in RNAcentral is "bacterial SSU rRNA". It matches the Rfam family "Bacterial small subunit ribosomal RNA", at positions 354 to 796 of the family's 1533-position model. The record is from RNAcentral.
GUGAGGAAUAUUGCGCAAUGGGCGAAAGCCUGACGCAGCGACGCCGCGUGGAGGAUGAAGGUCUUCGGAUUGUAAACUCCUGUUAAGUGGGAAGAAAGACUCAUUCUUAAUACGAAUGAGGGAUGACUGUACCAUUAGAGAAAGCACCGGCUAACUUCGUGCCAGCAGCCGCGGUAAUACGAAGGGUGCAAGCGUUAUUCGGAAUCAUUGGGCGUAAAGGGUAUGUAGGCGGUAAGUUAAGUCAACUGUUAAAGGUUCCGGCCUAACCGGAAAGAUGCGGUAGAAACUAGCUUACUAGAGGAUGGAAGAGAGAAGUGGAAUUCUCGGAGUAGCGGUAAAAUGCGUGGAUCUCGAGAGGAACACCAAUGGCGAAGGCAGCUUCUUGGUCCAUUUCUGACGCUGAGAUACGAAAGCGUGGGGAGCAAACAGGAUUAGAAACCCCAGUAGUCC